This 542-nucleotide ribosomal RNA is filed under the name uncultured bacterium. Its description in RNAcentral is "bacterial SSU rRNA". It matches the Rfam family "Bacterial small subunit ribosomal RNA", at positions 355 to 895 of the family's 1533-position model. The record is from RNAcentral.
UGGGGAAUAUUGCACAAUGGGCGCAAGCCUGAUGCAGCGACGCCGCGUGGGGGAUGACGGCCUUCGGGUUGUAAACCUCUUUCACCAUCGACGAAGGUCCGGGUUUUCUCGGAUUGACGGUAGGUGGAGAAGAAGCACCGGCCAACUACGUGCCAGCAGCCGCGGUAAUACGUAGGGUGCGAGCGUUGUCCGGAAUUACUGGGCGUAAAGAGCUCGUAGGUGGUUUGUCGCGUUGUUCGUGAAAUCUCACGGCUUAACUGUGAGCGUGCGGGCGAUACGGGCAGACUAGAGUACUGCAGGGGAGACUGGAAUUCCUGGUGUAGCGGUGGAAUGCGCAGACAUCAGGAGGAACACCGGUGGCGAAGGCGGGUCUCUGGGCAGUAACUGACGCUGAGGAGCGAAAGCGUGGGGAGCGAACAGGAUUAGAUACCCUGGUAGUCCACGCCGUAAACGGUGGGUACUAGGUGUGGGUUUCCUUCCUUGGGAUCCGUGCCGUAGCUAACGCAUUAAGUACCCCGCCUGGGGAGUACGGCCGCAAGGCU